ACACCUGGAACCGUCUAUGAAAGUCAACCCAAGCACCUCUUCCAACACCUGGGGCUACGGGUGACCUUCUAGGCUUUGCUGUUACACCAUUUCAGGAGCCCUCCUUCCCCCUGGGGCUGGCUCUGCUUGGAAGCGGCGGAGGCCUGUGGUGUUGCCAAGUCCGUUGCUGCAGACCUCUUUGUUCCCCAAGAGAAUGCGUAAAGGCUCUUUUUGAUCCCACUGCACAUCGCUGGGCUCUGCUGACCUCCAGACAUGGAGAGCACCACGAGGAGGAAAAGGACUCAGCACGUGACUGGGCUUUGCGGCCAGCUCUGGACCACAAGCUCCUUGCCCAGAUAUCUUGCUGAUAUCCCUCGCCAUAUGGGAUGUGUGUGGUGCUGCUUCCUCCUGGCUGUCACUCGUGGGGUUCUGCCCCGGCUCCGAAGCUCCGUGCGUGGGAACAGCUCCUGGCUGGGGCUCAUCUCUGUCUGCAGGAGCUGCUCGGCCUCUUUCAGCACAUCUCAGUCUGUUUGGAGACAGUUCCCACAAGCAUCUCUUCUCCAGGUGUAGCGGCUUUCUCUCCCCCGUGUUUCAGCCGUGGUAUCACAUUAUUUAUGGUGCCCUGUUUGACUGAAGCAGCUGCACACGUGUGACUCAAGUGCUCCCUGACACUGUCAAACCAUGGAUACCAGC
This 672-nucleotide long non-coding RNA is filed under the name Gallus gallus (chicken). RNAcentral describes it as "lncRNA (ENSGALG00010014732.1)". Lineage: Eukaryota; Metazoa; Chordata; Aves; Galliformes; Phasianidae. The record is from RNAcentral.